UACGUAGGUGGCUAGCGUUAUCCGGAUUUAUUGGGUGUAAAGGGCGUGUAGGCGGGAAAGCAAGUCAGAUGUGAAAACUCAGGGCUCAACCCUGAGCCUGCAUUUGAAACUGUUUUUCUUGAGUGCUGGAGAGGCAAUCGGAAUUCCGUGUGUAGCGGUGAAAUGCGUAGAUAUACGGAGGAACACCAGUGGCGAAGGCGGAUUGCUGGACAGUAACUGACGCUGAGGCGCGAAAGCGUGGGGAGCAAACAGG
This 253-nucleotide ribosomal RNA is filed under the name uncultured bacterium. RNAcentral describes it as "partial 16S ribosomal RNA". It matches the Rfam family "Bacterial small subunit ribosomal RNA", at positions 524 to 776 of the family's 1533-position model. The record is from RNAcentral.